AACAGUCGUCAGUCUUGUUUGAAACAGAUAACAGAGUUUUGAAAACUUGCAUAAAUGUAGUACAUGACUAUUAUUCUAUAAACCAAUAUAAUUAUAAUUCGUGUUUUUACUGUUGGUUAUGGUAUUAGUUAUAAAAUGAAGUAGCAAUAAUGUAGCCUACCUAAUAAAAAAAAAUCUUUAUUAUAACAAGAAAGAAACUGACUCUCAUGUUGGUAUUUCAUUAUUUAGGUUAAUUUGAACUUUUCUAUUGAAAUAUUAUAACAGUUUAUGUUGCUAUUUAUCUAUGAUAACAAUUAAUGUUUAUUUUUCAAGGUUGUCGGUCAUUAACUUAGUUACAUAGAUAACAAUAGCAAUUGCUUUCCUGCGUAUCAUCCUUACUACUGCCUAUAUCGUACCUUAUAUUUUGAGUUUUCUGUGGUGAACGAAUGGCUCAAGUUAAUGAAGCUAAUGGAAUAUCAAAAACAUACCAAGACAAAUUCUGACAUUUUACAACAUUCUCCAGGCCCAUAGAAGACUGACUUAUGAUGGCGAAAGACUUUUGAAGGCGGUUACCUUGAUUGGGAUCAUAUCUAUUAAACCUUCGAAUCCUGCUCUCAAAAGUAAAUGUGAUACCAUUCAAAUGGAAUAAGAUUGAUUUGAAUUGGAAUUAUGAAAUUGAAUUUGUUAUUCCUGUAUCAUAGUGCAUUUUUCUACUAGUUACCCUACGUAUUGUACAUUAUUGUAAUAAAGCACUAGCUGUUCCAUAAUUGGAAGUCUUCGAAAUAAAAGGUUUCUUUUUCAAGUUAG
Nilaparvata lugens (brown planthopper) is the source of this 786-nucleotide RNA transcript. RefSeq lists it as uncharacterized. NCBI's taxonomy places the organism in Eukaryota, Metazoa, Arthropoda, Insecta, Hemiptera, Delphacidae. The transcript is spliced from 3 exons. The record is from RefSeq and is a predicted model, not a curated record.